This 1085-nucleotide long non-coding RNA is filed under the name Fukomys damarensis (Damara mole-rat). RNAcentral's name for it is "lncRNA (ENSFDAG00000033560.1)". The record is from RNAcentral. Lineage: Eukaryota; Metazoa; Chordata; Mammalia; Rodentia; Bathyergidae.
AUCUUGGCUUACUUUGCCUCCUGGGCCUCUGUUUCCUCCUUGUACUGAGAUGAUCUCUAAGUGCAGUCAGAUGUGAUUGCUCUGUGAAUCUAGAAGGAGGCAGCUCUGGUCCAAGUUGAGAACUGGCAGUCUGCCUUUCCUGUCACUAGUUAUGUGGUACCCUGACUCACAGGCCAGAAACCAAGGCCCUGAAAAAUGCUUUGAGGAGAUGGGAAGUUCUCAAAAGGACCCUCAACUCCUCACUGGAAGAUGCCUUUUUCCUGUCCAACCGGAAGGACGUGACAGGAGUGAUGCUCCGUCACCUGCGGCUCCACUCACCUGCUGAAGGGCCCGGGGGGCUCCGCAUCCUGCUGAUCAUGCAUCAGGCCCUGCGAACACCCUUGUGCAGGUAUCUGCUAGGAUGUAAGCUUUCAGCUCCUUUGGGUAAAUAGCAAGGAAUGAAACGUGAUUGUGGGGUCGGAUACUAUUACUGCACGGCGAGACUGUUAAACUUUGUGAGAAAGUGUUUAUUUUCUAAAGUGAAAAAUAAAGAAUUUAAGCUAGGAAAAGGGCUUACCUCUUAAGUCCCAGGGAUGAGCUUGUACUGUCUGCUUUCAGCAGCUUGGCUGUCAGAGCCUCACCUGCUUCCCAAAGAAGCUGCCUGAAAUGGCCCGAAAUGGCGUGAACCAGGAAGGCACCUGGUGCUUCUGAAAACAGCCAGCUUCUCUGAGGCUCCUCCGAAUUUUGGGUCUUAGACCCAGUCCCACCAAGCCCUCCUUCCGGGGUACAUUACUCCCCUCCCCAGGAGCCAUCCAGGCACAUUCUGCUCAGGGACCUUUCCUUUUCUGUCCCAGGGUGGCCUUUGGAACUCAGAGGAGGCACUGGCCACAGCCCCAGGCUUGGUCUGGGCUCCUCCCAGGCUGCUCUGAGAUAAGGACUGGGAGCGGCUAGUUUACUGGGGAGGAGAUUCCAGGAAGCAGGCAGUGUGCACUUGGAUGAGGGCGGGUUGGUGGGAACUGUGUGGGCUCCGUUCCAGGGGGGCACCCAGGGCUCUGGGGAGCCGAAUAGACACAUUUCAGACUUGUCCCUUGAAAGCAAGAAGGCUG